GGGGAUAUAGCUCAGUUGGUAGAGUGCUUACUUUGCAUGCAUAAGGUCCUGGGUUCAAUCCCCAGCACCA
Molecule: transfer RNA, 70 nt
Filed under: Urocitellus parryii (Arctic ground squirrel)
Lineage: Eukaryota; Metazoa; Chordata; Mammalia; Rodentia; Sciuridae
Also listed under: 2 other names
Description: Spermophilus parryii (Arctic ground squirrel) tRNA
Rfam family: tRNA
About the family: Transfer RNA (tRNA) molecules are approximately 80 nucleotides in length. Their secondary structure includes four short double-helical elements and three loops (D, anti-codon, and T loops).
Source: Rfam by way of RNAcentral